AUAUGACCUUAGCUACCGUUUAUAAUCUUUCACCCUCACUUGCCCAAACUCCCACCGUUUCACUUUGAUAGUCGCUCUUGGUCAAGUUUGGCUAUGGCAACCGAGAACAGGAACGCUCAAGAGGUUCUUCCUCCAUCACUCAAUUCUACUUCCACCCGCCCUCCUCUUUUUGAUGGAACUACCAUGUUGAACAUAAAGCUACAGAAGUCCAUUCGCUCAACGGGCUUGGAUUACAAGGAAUUACACAAGGGACAACAAGAAAAGAAAAGAUUGUAUUAGUUGCUAUCGACCUAGAAAAUAAGCCUCUUUGGUGCAAAGAAGUGUAUUCUGCAAAAAAGGAUCCUGCAAGAAGAGAAUUUGGAGAGGAAUUGCCAUCUUACUCUGAAACAUUUAAUAAUAUGGUCUAUAACUCGAUCAUUUAAAGGAGUAGUAGUUAGAGAAGCUGGUGUAUAUGGCAUAUAUCCCAUUUGGUUGAAAGAGCCCACAUAUUCUUACCUCAAGUGUGGAAGUAUGAUAUCACCAAGGGCAGGCAUAAAACAAGCAUCAUGGAUUGAGGAAAUGAACAAAAUUGAUGCUUGUAAGCAAACAAAGAUUGAUCCAAAAGAGAUCAUUGAAUUUUACAAGAAGCGCUUCCUGGUACCAUACCUCUUUUACACAAACAACCAUAUAUAUAUAUAUGUCCACACACACUGCGAAUAUGAUUUUUGCUGGUUUCUUUUCCCUCCUAUUUAUUUUGGCUGCAGGCCCAACAAUGAGCAUGCCAAUAUUUGUUCUUUUUUUAAAGUCUUAAAUUUUAUUUUUAUAUGA
Molecule: long non-coding RNA, 807 nt
Organism: Hevea brasiliensis (rubber tree)
Lineage: Eukaryota; Viridiplantae; Streptophyta; Magnoliopsida; Malpighiales; Euphorbiaceae
Exons: 7
Source: RefSeq, a predicted model, not a curated record